ACUUGUGCCCAUGCCACCCUGAACACGCCUGCUCAGGGUCGGGCCUGGUUAGUGUCGAGAUGGGAAACCACCUGGGAAUACCAGGUGCCGUAAGCU
This 96-nucleotide ribosomal RNA is filed under the name Salmo salar (Atlantic salmon). Lineage: Eukaryota; Metazoa; Chordata; Actinopteri; Salmoniformes; Salmonidae. The record is from RNAcentral.